Molecule: long non-coding RNA, 1333 nt
Organism: Pipra filicauda (Wire-tailed manakin)
Lineage: Eukaryota; Metazoa; Chordata; Aves; Passeriformes; Pipridae
Exons: 3
Source: RefSeq, a predicted model, not a curated record
UGAAAAAUUCCUCAAGCACCAGAAAACUGCUCAUCUUUGCUACAGCCUCAUUCUACUCUAAUGCUGUGCUAAUUUGACAGUAGAGAACAUCACGUUGAACCUACCUUUGGAAAGUCCAAAGUAUUUAUUUUGCACCCUGAAAUCCACCUGUAAAAUUAUAUCCUUCUUGCUUUCUAAGCAACUUUCAACUGGGAAACCUGCAUAAUGAUGGCUUCAGGGACACACACCUGAUGAACUCAAAUAACAGUCACAUUCAGCCACCAGCAAAACAGCUGCAGCAACAGAAAAAUCAUCCUGCUCAGAGAUGCAACAUCUCCCAUUUCCAUACCUUGUACAGGAUGCACUCACAGAAAAAUGCACAUACACCAAGCUCCUUAACAAAACAGACAGUAACCACUGUUAUCUAAAGAAUUUCCAAGGAGAGACUAAGCCACAAGAAAUAAGUUUCCAGUAGCUUCCAGACAACAGCAAGCAAAUAACAAGCUGUCACUGUUAGCAGCUCUGCAGGACUUGUGUGAACAGUGUCAGUCUGCAGCAAUGACAACACAGAUUUCUCUUGUGCCACCAAAUUCAACAAAAACAGCUUCAUGGAGGUACAGAAAAACUGAAGGACAUAACCAAGUACUCAGUCACCACCACAGAAUAACCGGAGCUGUUUUCACAGGGGUUGCAAGUAGAAAAAUACUGAUGUCACAUCAUCGGCUCGAUGACAUUUCGCGUUACUCACAUGGUUGAGAAAUUUGCUGUCUUUGGUAGCCCAUCCUAUUUGCAUCACUCCCGAAGUGAUGACUGUAACUUCGUAGUACCAGACCCCGGAAUCGACACAGAACGUGCACCUGACGCUCUCAAAGGACGAGGCGUCACAUCGAGCCUACCAAAAACCAAACCAAACGUUCAGCUGCUGCAAAACGAGCACUCAAGAGAGCCUCUUUUCUCCCCCUGGCUCGAGUUUCUUGCAUGUAAGAAUACACCAACAUAAUUUUAGAGGCACUUCAGACAAAGUGACCUCUCUUCAUAGCAGUAAUUAUCACAAAAACUAGUGAGUAGGCAAGACUGAAAAUCGUUCGGUGGUUAAGCCACAGGAAAAAAGAAAAGUAGGAGGUUGACAAAGUCAAUUUAAAGAUUUAAAGACUGAGACAACCAAGACAGGAAGACUUAAAACACUGGUUUAUUAGCUGACUUCUGAUAUGAAGGACAAGGAGGUAAUUCAAUGUUAAGUCAUGAAAAUUCAUCUCUUAAGUAGUCAAGCAAGUUUUUAGAAGGAAUUACAGAGGGGGGAAAAAAAAACCCCACAUGGCUGAGACAAAAAUCUGAUGCUCUUUUCAAGACUAAA